Mercenaria mercenaria is the source of this 9121-nucleotide RNA transcript. RefSeq lists it as uncharacterized. The record is from RefSeq and is a predicted model, not a curated record. NCBI's taxonomy places the organism in Eukaryota, Metazoa, Mollusca, Bivalvia, Venerida, Veneridae. The transcript is spliced from 27 exons.
ACGGAAGCGGUAACUUCAAAGUUUGUUGUUGUCUAAACAUGUCAAGCGAUUUAGCGGAUCGGUUGAUAUUUAAAGCAUGAUAGUCAGCUGCACGCUAAAGACACCUUAGUCUCAAAGUUUUGAUCCCUACGACAUGAGGUCAAAGUCAUAUCCAGUGGCAGGAUUUAUUGUACCAUUCAAAUGCUAUGAAUUAAGGAAACAGGAAAAAUUGGACCGUAACAAGAUGAGGAUACGGAAGGGACGUCUGCGCCUCAGCCCCAAUGAGGAGGCAGCUCUGAUCAAAGAGGAGACGGAGAAAAGACGUAAGCUCCGCCUACAGCAAGUUCGAGAACAGAGCAAGGAGAAUGCAGCAAAGAUCAGACAUGCAGUUAAACAGGAGAAACAUAAACAGCUGAUGAGACUGGCUACAGAUAUUAAGAACCAGCUUGAAGAAGAGAAGGCAGAAAGAGUGAGACAUUUAGAACAACAGUAUGACAACAGUCUGAGAAAUAUAGGUGUGGGUCAUAAACAGGCUGCUGAACAGCCUGAUUGGUCAGAGGAACGAGAGCUAAUUCAGCAGGCGGAGAACCUGCGUGCAGAGGCUCGGGGACGUACAGCUCUAGACAAACUAAAGAAGGAGACUGCACAUAAUAAUCAUGAAGCCCAUAAACAUAUUAUAGCCAGGAAGCAGGCAUUAGAAGUGGAGAGAUCUCGUGCAGCUCAGAUUGCAGCCAUGCCCCCACCUCCUCCAGACCCCAUCAACGACCUAGAUGUGAAAAAACCUAAGCCAGUGAAAGUAACAGAUAUGAACACAUUCUCCACGUCACACUAUCACCUACAGAAUGAACAUGCUGUAGACAGAGCUGGGCCGGAGGAGCAGACCAAUGCAAGAGAAGCUGCUGGCCUUGAAGCUGACCGGAUAAAAGAGAGAGCACUGGAGUUGAAGAGGUUACGUCAGGACCAACUAGAAAGGGCGAGGUUACGACAUAAUGCUGCUCUCGAGAAGGAAUUACUCAAACAUGAUUACAAUAAUAUUCUACAUGACCUCAGUGACCUUCAGCGGGCAGACAGAGAGAGGAGACUGAAGAUUGUUCAUAGUAUACCUAAACAAGUGUUUGAGCCGCCAAAUGUCCGCAUGGAGGAUAGGGAGGAGAAACAGCGAAACUUGGAGGAGGAAUUCGAGAACAUGUAUAUGGCGGGAACCAAUCAUCUUGGUGAUAUCAGUAUGGCCCUUGAUCCCCAGCCUCGUCCAACCACUCCCUCACAGGAGAACUCUCUUGAUGUGACUGUGGAUGGUACCCCGAUACAGGAACCAACCCUCCCAGGAAUACCUCCUGUACUGAGAGAUAUGACAAAUAUGCCAAAACCUAAAUCUCCUGGAAAGAAACCAGAGAAAGUAUUGAGGAACUUGAUGGAUCGAAUAAAAUCACAACGUGAGGAGUGGAUAACUUCUCAGUCAAUGAUGGAUGUUGGGGAAGGCCAACAACAACAGCAGCAGCAGCAGUUUGUUCAGAGUACAGACAAUACAGCUAUGAAUGGUGACCAUUUUUACCCACUUUUGCCUGAUGAAUCUCCAAUGACAGCACAACAUGAAUUAUCUCCCUCUCCAGAGAAGUUAGCAAGAGUUCACUCCCCUGUACAGGCAGCAGGAGCACCAUCUGGUGGUCCUACAUUGCCAACAGGCGGCAGGAAAUCAGCUAUGCCUCCUGUGGAGUUUUCUGAAAAAUUGAGGACAACGAAUGAGAAACAACAGACUAAUGUACAGAUCCAGUCUGAACCAGCACAGACAGCGACUAUACCCAGUGACAGACAACAGGCACAAUAUGCAGAAAUACUCAGACAACAGGAAAUUAUGCUAGAGCAGAAACGACAGCUUGAACUAAAACUACAGCAGUUAACAUAUGAACAACAGAAGAUGAAAUUGCUGCAGCAAGCACAGCAAACAGCCGAGGUACAGCCUCAAACACUGCCCUACCAAGAGAUGCAACCACUACCCAUGGCAUCUGUGCCUGGCAUUCCACCUUCAUCCCAGUAUGGUGUUUUAGCCCAGCAGGGCCAGCCUUUUGGGUCCCAACUUGUUAUUCAACCGGGACAACAGGUACCAUACCCUGGACCAGCUACACAGCAUGUUCAGUAUCCGGCACAGGUCCCUGGUCAACCUGUAGGUUUGGUUCAACAGCCAGCCCCAUCAGUACAGCAACAAUUUGUCAGCAGUCUCUCUUCAUCUGGCACAUCACAGAGACCUAUGAACUCCAUUCCACCCACCCACACAACUGGCACAGCACCCUUGAUGACUUCUCAAGGUCAAGGUUACUCUGGUUACCAAGGUCAGCAAAUUCAUUCAGCAUAUCAGCCACCGUCUGCUGUUUUGACAACAGAUCAGCUUGCUACACCAGCCUGGCAACAGCCCUAUCAACCACCUAAUAGUCAGUCUGGUUACCAUGGAAACAUGGCCAUGACCAUGCCCACCAGUAUACAAGGUCAGACUGUCUCUCCAGGUCAUAUUCCACCAGCAUCUCUGACAUCUGAUGGCAUGUCUGAACAAAUGAGAAAAGUGAAAGAAUAUCAGCAACACUUAUUGGCUAGACAUGAACAAAGCAAAAAAGUGUUGGACGAAACAAAGGCAGAAAUUAAGCGAAGACGGGAAAAUUUGUUAGAAAGAUACCCUAACCUCGACCUUUCAAGGUUGGAAGAGCUUGGAGCAAAACAUUUAGACUCCCAGCCUCGAAUGAUGUCUGCUGCAUCACAAGACCAGUCAGUGACUUCAAGAUUAGGAGGUCAAGGUCAGUCUGUGCCUGUAACCUCACUGCUGGCCUCCCUGGCUGCCCAUCCUUAUUAUGCUGCUACACUGUCUCAGCCUGGAGCCAGUAAGCCUGCAACAACGAUAAUGCCGGGUACCGUUCUUACUGCUGGAACCAACCAAGCAAGUAAUAUUCCUUCACAUCCUGAUAUCUACCUCGAGACUAACCUGAGAAAGAACAAACUUGAAAAUAUUAGAAAGUCCUUGCCUUUUGAUGCAGAUGACUCUUUCCAGACCCCAGUGAGGGUUUAUGAAGCUUAUGCUCAGAAAAAUCUUGACACUACAUCAGCUACUGAUAUCACUGAAACUGACACAUCCACUUUGACUGAGAGAGGGAGUCCGGCUUUGAAGCCUGCAUCCAGGCCACCAAUGAGACAGGAGAUUCCAGAACCAGGAACCACCACUGAUGAAUCUGAAGUAGAUACCACGGCCUCCACAAGUUUCCUAGCCGAGAAAGACGAAAUCUCGACAUUGAGACAAGAUGAAUUGAAGCUGCAACUUGCAGAAAUUCAGCGACAAAAAGAAGAGAUCAUCCGCAGGCAUCAGCAAGGACAGCAGAAGUUGCAGAGUAAAGAAGAGGAACUGAAGACCAAAUUAGCAACUCUACAACCAGAGCAAUUAGGUCAACAUCUGAAGGAAUCUCUCCAACAGAGAGUAGCUGACACACAGCAGAUGCAAAAGGACACAUACAAACAAGAUGGCCGCCAACAGCAGCUCAACCUGUCCACAAUACUUGAGGUUGACACACCUGCUAGCACCAGACCCUCUGAUGCCGGAAUGUCAGGUUCCACACACAGUGAGGCUUCCCAGCAAUCCAAGAAGUCGCUGGAUUUCUCACGAAAAGAGGCAAUACUGGAAGUACCGGAACAGUCCGGGUUUGAGGAAGUUGAAACACAGAUGCAGAGCCAGGCAAAAACAAAAGCAUUAAGAGAGACAGUGGCUGACUAUAGUGGGAAGAACAUAGAUGAUGUUUUAGAACGAGCGAAAAGGUUUGAACAAGAAGUUCUUCAGAAGUUACGGAAACAAACAAAUGCCGUCCUGUUUGAUAAUGAGUUUGACGAUUCUCUUGAAUUUAACGUGAGCAGACGGCAAGCUUCAGCAGAACCAUUGUCAAGUGGAAGUCUUACACCAAGCUCAUUUUCUACAGGUCCUCUUGAUGAGACCAGUCAAAGCAGACAGUCUAGAACAGGUGAUGGUAGUUUCCAGACUGCUUCUAACUCCUGGGCAACAGAAUUAUCUCAGUUUAAAAUUCCGCCUUCAAACCAGUCUGACCUCGCUUUCAGACUGAUGAAAUCAGAUGCCAGUAAAUCCUUUACAGAGAAAAAGCCAGUGGGGGAAGCUGCAGUGUUUAACAGUGAAAAGAACAGGUUUAAAAUAUAUUCCGAAAUUAAUGAGCCAGAGAGUGGGGCAGAUACGUCAAAGUCCGAAAGUAGUUCCCUAGAAAGUUCAAAGAUGGAGUCUGCUUUGGACAGUUUCGAACCUGAUUCAUUGAAUGCAGGGGCCAUGCUAAAACAUUUGAAAAAUCUUCAAGAACAGUUACGCAAAGGAGAGGAAGAGAGAACUAUGCUGGCAAGAAAAUUGGCAGAACAACAAAGUAAUACCACAGAACCAAGUCGGGAAGAUUUAACUGAAUAUUCUAUGGAUUCCAGUCAGAACGUGUCAAGGCCAUUUAUGCCUGAUCAAGAUACAAGUGAAAAUAAAAGUGAACUUUCACAGUACUCAUUUACUGAUAAAUCUACAGAUGUUUCCAUGGCAGCUAAUGACAAAUCAGACAAGGGCAAAAGGUCACAUGACUUUCCCAUCCAGUCAGGAACUAGUUCUGUAGAAAAAGCACUCCCUGUGAGAAGAUCGCCAAUAGGAGAUUCUGCAAAGAUGGAGUCUCAUUCUGGAUUGACCAAUGGGAGAGAACCACAAGAUGUUACAACCACUGAAUAUUCAUUUGCACUUUCAGACAGCAGGCAACAAAGGUCAACUUCAACCCCAGGUGAGGAUAGAAGAAAGUCGGCCCUAGAUGGAACACAUCGGUCUGAGCUUCCCUCGGAGAUAACAGUCGGAGAUAAAACAACAGGAAAACCUGAUGAUACUGUCAAUUCAGCAAGUUCAAAAUUCAAAUCACCAGGUCAGAGUGAGGAACUUUCCUCUUAUUCUAUGCCAUAUGAUAGUUACUCUGGCAGAAGUGAAGACUUCCACACUAUGUCUCCUGAACGUAAUGGCAAAAGCCCAACUGAAGAUAUUACAAGGCACUCUGGGAUGACAGCAGAGGAAUCUUUGGAGAGUAUAAAGAAAGAGUUUGAAAAAUUGGAAAAACCAGUCAGUAAAAUUAAAACAUUUGCUGUGAAUAGAGAUGGUGAUUUAAUCUCAGAACAUUCCGAUUCGGACAAAUCUUUACGUAACAGUGCAAACAUAGGACAGGAAUUAUCCCAGUAUACAGUUUCUUCUCAAGGAAGUGCUCAGGAUAAAUACCAAUCUAAACUGCAGAGCUUUUCAGGUUUAAGUAGUUAUACUGUACCUGAAUCGACAGCUGAAAGUCGCCUUUCGGAAUAUUCCAAUAAAAGUUCAUUUGGUAGUGGUUCAGUUAGCUCAAACCCUAAGUCAUCAUCCUUCACGAACGUUACCUCAGAGAUGUCUUUAAAUGUAACAGGUGCCACAAAUCUUAGCCAGUACACACUGAAUGACACUGAACCAGCGGGAGAAAAUUUUAAUGAGAAUAAUAAUUAUGUUCAGCAGAGGUUUGCAAGUCUUGAUAAUUUAAUUAGUGAAUCGAAAAACAUCAUAGCUAAGCAUAAACAGAUUAUUGGUAAAAAUAAGACUACAGACGAAGCAGUGCCAAAUAUGACUUCAGCAGUGAAGAGUUCAGGGAAGCAGACGACUGAUGACAGAGAGUCUCAGUUGCCAAAGUCAAAUUUCUUGAGAAGCAGACUGCCUGACAGUACUACAGGGAAGAAAACAGAAGAUUCCAGUCUGUCUUUGGAGCAAACCAGUCUAUCUCAGGAGGAAACCAGUGUAACAAAGGAUGAAACCAGUCUAAUGAAGGAUAAAUCAGGAAACCAGUCCUCCACUGUUGAUGAAAGCAGUCUGGAUUAUCUGGCUGAACAUAGUUCUGGGAUCACGGAGGAGCCACUACCAGACCUGACUACCAUGACUCUUGGAUCAGAGAUUUCGAUAUCUGAAGCAUUCAACAAAACAGAGGAACUCUCGGAGAGCACUGACUCACUGCAGUCUUUCGAGAAGCAUGAAAUGUCUGAGUCAGAAUCUGCUUCAGUAUCACAGAACUUUGAGGAUGACAGUCUGAGAGACACAGGCAAAUCAGACAGCCUACUUGAGAUCGUUGAAGCACGUAAACACAAUUUCAUGGUCCAGACUGAGCGGAGGGCAGCUGCCGCUAAAGAAAGGGCGUUAGCUGCCCAGCGUACAGAAGACAAGCACCAAGUCUUCAGGGCCGUUCCUGUGAAUGUUGUAGCAGCUCCAACAUUGUCAAUGUCAGUCAAUACUUCUGGAGCAGAGAAAGGCAAGUCACCUAGUUUGUUUCAGACAAAGAGCGCUAACUCAUUAACUACUGAAAAGAAAUCUUUUGAACUGAAAGAGAAAGAAGUAAAGGAAGUCACCUCCUCUAAAGCUUUAAACAGAGCCUUACAACCUAGAGGAUCAGAUAGUCCAAGGACUUCAGACCUCGGAGCAAAGUCACAUGACAGUGGAGCUAAGCCAAGGGAAACCAGUCUAUUUAGUAGAUUUGGUUCACAGUCUUCUUCAGGAGAAGAGUCUAAAUCUCCAAGAGGAAGACUAGCUGGAGAGAUUCGCCAGUUUGGGGGCUCUGCAGGAUUAUUUCAGAAACCUUCACCCCCUGCUCAAAAGAAGACUCCUCCAAAAGUUGCACCUAAACCUGUACGCCCUAAACCAGAAGAGCGACAGCCUGCGAAACCAGUAAGCGGGUUAUCCAAGACAUUGUCAUCAUGGAAGAAAAGCAGAGCUGUAACUGAUCCAUCAAAAGUACCUGAACCAGCACAGCAGAGAGAUGCACCAAAGAAUUCUAUUAAAGUGUUGCCUGAAGAUGCUCCUCCUGCAUUGACAGAGGAAGAGAGAAGGAAACGGGCCGAGGAUGAGCUUUACGAGAAAAAUAUUAGGGCUUACAAUCCCCGAUUGUUUAGGUUACAACACAAGCUGGAUAGGGAAGAUUCGUCACCCCAAACUUCACCACAACAACAAGAGAGACAAAGGGAUGUAAAAAAGAAUAGUCUAUCCUGGAGUAGUCUACCUUCCAUAUCUGAGGAGUCAGAAAAUGAAUAAAGUCUGUAAAUACAUUGUGACCUUGAGGUGUGACCUUGAGUGUUGCUAGGCAACUUAGUGAACUGCACUCAUCACAUGAAUGAAGUAGAAUGAAAUGCAUUAAAGGAAUCAGAAGACAACUUACGGAAGAAUAAGAAGUGAGAAACCUGGCAGCAGAAGAAACAAACCCACAAUGUCUUGAAUAGUGAAAUGAUGAAAUAGUGAAUGAAGACAAAAUGUGACAUGCAUUACUUGAUCAUUGUUGUUAAAAGCUACACUCAGUAGUUUUUUUAAUGUGACAGUCAUGAGAAACUGUGAUGAUUUUACUUGAUUAAAUAUGACAGUCAUGAGAAACUGUGUUGUUUAGUGAUUAAAUAUGACACUCGUGAGAAACUGUGUUGCUUAUUUAGUGAUUAAAAGUUGUACUCGCCACUGACUGUGAUGCCAAUUUUUAGUGAUUGAAUGCGACUCUAAUGAGAACCUUUGAUGCUUAUUUAGUGAUUAGGUGAUACUUGUGUAGUGAUGCUGUUUUGUUAAGUGUGGCACAAAUGAUGUGACGAAAUGUGACACUUCCAGAGAAGUUGCAACUGACUUAUAAAUGAGACUAGGUUCAAGGCUACAUGAAAGUAGAUAUAGAACUGAUAUAUAUUACUGGAGGGCUACCUGAAAUUUAUAGGAAGCAGGUAGUACUGGACCUGUGCUUUGUAUUGCAAACUUUAACAAAUGUACUUGUUUGAAGAUUUAUAUUAGUUGCUAAAAUAUAUUUAACCCGAAAAACAUUUUUUUUCUUCUAAAAUUUAUGUUAUACUUACUACUAUCUUAAUAGCAAUUUUAAUUUACCUUUUACAGUUUUGAACUAAAAUAGAAAUACCAUUUAAACUGAUUUUGUUCAACUUAAUUUAAUAUUGUGUUAUGAAGUGUUACAGAGCAAAUGAUGUUGUUAUAUAAUAUCUUGAAACAUUGUUGCAGUACUGGGUUGGGGUUGUAGUUAUUUUCUUUGAGGGUGUGCUAGGUUUCUGUCUUUUAUAUUUUGUAGUUUGUUCAGCAUUUGAUAUACAUAAUAAGAGAUACACCUUUAAAUGGUAUGAACUCGGUGUCCAGAUACUUUGCUUUUGGUAAACUUACAAUCAUACUCUGUAUAGAGAUAGUGUUUGGAGCCGUUAGCCAUUGCAUAAGUAUAAAUAUAUUCUUUCAGCCUUUGUUAUUUCUCAGAAUGUGUAACUUAGCAUGCAUAUAUAUGCCAUUUUCUUUUAACAUCAUUAUAUAUAGUUGUACAUUUUGUGUAUAUUAUUUAUUCUAGAGUUAAGUGUCCUUUAUUGUGACUAAGUCUUUGUACCAGUACUUGUUCAAUGAUCUGUUAUUGAAUUAUUCCAAUUUCGUGUAUGUGUAAUUUAUUACAAUUGUAUUUUAUUUUAAAGUAGCACAUUCCGUCCAGUUUAGGUAUUGUAAAUGUAUAAAUUUACUCUUUAUGUUUGAUUCCUGAGUGGAAAAUAGGGAGAGAAAAUAAGAGAAAACCUAUUUUAGCAAAUCAUGCGAACUUUUUUUACUGUUGCCCACAUGCAAAUGUGUGAAAAUUUUAGCCAGAAACAACAUUUAGCCAAAUAUCUUUGGUAUUGUCUAGGCUGUUAUCUAUUUAGUUUUGUGGCAAAUCCUGACAUAGUUGCUUAGAAUAUUUGAGAUAUAAAAAUACAUUGCAGGAAGGGAAGCAUGUUUUGUUAUUAUAAUUGUUUUUGUUUUUUCACAGCUAUAUAACUUUUUCUCCCACUUCCCAGAAGCAAGAUCUGACUUUAAUAAAAGUUACAAAAAAAGUUUGGAAACCAGUCAUAUAUUGCAGCCUUGUGAUUGAUUAAUCCCAAGAUUAAGCUCUUGAUAAACCAAUCAGAUGCUGUAGUACUUAGACUGGUUGCAAAAGAAUUUUAUAACAUUGAACAGAUACUUGUCUUGUCUUCAGAAAGGAGGUCAUGACUUUGUGUUUAUUCAAUAUAUUCCUUCGGGUUUUGCCAGUUGAUUAGUGUAAAGUAGAAUGGUGAGAGAUACAUACUGUACAGUCUUAUUUUUGUAUUAAAAUCCAUAAAUUUA